This 28-nucleotide non-coding RNA is filed under the name Mus musculus (house mouse). The record is from RNAcentral. Lineage: Eukaryota; Metazoa; Chordata; Mammalia; Rodentia; Muridae.
UGACCAUUGCCAAUUUAUGCUGGAUUAC